AAAGAGAGAAACGGGAGCCGGAGCAGGGAGAGGUUGGGAAGAGGCCUGGACAGGCCCAGGCCUUGGAGGAAGCGGGUGAUCUUCCUGAAGAUCCCCAGAAAGUUCCAGAAGCAGAUGGUCAGCCAGCUGUCCAGCCUGCAAAGGAGGACCUGGAGCCAGGAGACAGGGGCCUGCAUCCUCGGCCCCAGGCAGUGCUGUCUGAGCAGCAGAAUGGCCUGGCAGUGGAUGAAGGGGAAAAGGCCGAGGGGGUACCGCCACCAGGCAACGCCGCCGGGGACACAGGGCAGCCCGCAGAGGACAGCGACCACGGUGGGUGUCAGCCUGGGCUCAUGUCAGAAGACACUUCCCUCUCGGGCUGGGGAGGCUGGGCAGGGGCAGCAGAAUCGAUGGUUCCUCCCUCAGUCCCCAGUCUCUCUCCCUGCACCAGAUUAGCAUGCAAAUGGAGCGGGCCCGGGCAGCUGGUGGGGACAGGAAGAGGCUGGUGGCUGACAGCUACUGUAAUAUCUGUCACACAGUUGUUUGCCAGACCACUAAAUGUCAGGUGCCGCGCUGUGCUCGUGUGGGCGCACACGGGGGGCGGCGCGGGGGGCGCCUGACAGGUAACACGUUGUUAAAUGCCCGUCUAAGAGCUGCUUAGGACGGUUCUUGCAUUUUAAUUGCGAAGGCAGUUAACAUUGGCUCAUUGCCACAAGCCUAUGAGGUUGUUAAAUAUUUUUUUAUUGCUUCGCUAGUAAUCAUCAGGUUGAAUAUAAACUGUGCUGACGGGGGUGUCACUUUAGAAACAUCUGCCACUUCCUUUUGUCCCGCCCUUGCCUUCUGUCCCCCCACCCCCCAAAUCCUCCCUUGACUUUCCUGCAAAACCUUCUGAGUCUUCACCGUGUGUGCAGGUGGGAAGCCUCCCCUCCCAGAGGAGAAGCCGGCUCCGGGGGCUGGGCUGCCGCCCGAGCCUCGAGAGCAGAGGGACGUGGAGCGAGCGGGUGGAGACCAGGCGGCCAGCCAGCUGGAGGGUAAGGCCUUGGCCCCACAGCCGCCCACCUCAGGCCCAGAGAGCGGCAGCCCCUUCCCCCAGCCCUGGGGUGAUGCCCAGGUCAUCCUAGGGCGCCCUGCCAGGCCCCCCUUCUCUUUCCAGCCGUCUGCUGAGCAGACCCCUUGUAUAGCUUCCUGCUCCCUUCCCAUCAGCAGCUUGCUUUCUGGGAACCUUUUAUCUCCCUUACUCCCCUCUAAAACACCUGCGGCAUUGUUACAUGGCUUGUGAUUACCAUUUUGUCUUACUUGAAAGCAGGUUUGUUAACAGUUCUAACACUCAAGCAGUAUUUAAAGCCAGCCAGGUGUGGGCGUGUCUGCACCCAGAUGUGGAGGUUUAUUUAAAGGCUGUGCCCCGAGGGGACCCGGCUUGGGGGUGGCUGUGCCCGCCCUGGUCCUAGCGGAGCCCUGGCCCAGAGCACUGCUCCCACACGCUUGGCCGUCGGAGCUCGGCUGUGUUCAUCUACAGGGAUCUAUCACCUGUCCUUCCAGGAAAGCUCCUUAUGCCUUUGCUCUCCUGAGAAUAAAACUUGCUCUGAAUCCUC
RNAcentral lists this small RNA (1568 nucleotides) under Pongo abelii (Sumatran orangutan). RNAcentral describes it as "retained intron". Lineage: Eukaryota; Metazoa; Chordata; Mammalia; Primates; Hominidae. The record is from RNAcentral.